RNAcentral lists this long non-coding RNA (257 nucleotides) under Brassica napus (rape). RNAcentral's name for it is "long non-coding RNA (BNAP_LNC015180)". The record is from RNAcentral. Lineage: Eukaryota; Viridiplantae; Streptophyta; Magnoliopsida; Brassicales; Brassicaceae.
UGAAUAAAACGUAAAGGUGGGUUACUAAAACUUAAGCUUAGAAACUCAUAAUAGAGAACUGAAAUUGAUGUCCUCAUGAUAGCGACCACUGGGAAAGAGCGCGCCGGUCUUCAAAGAACGAAUAGAAACAAGCCGAAGACUCUUGUUUGUUGACUUGAAGUUACUUCCUAUCCUAAGAACCAAAGAACCAAUUUAGCAGAGACCUCAAAGCUCGCACAACCUUAAGCCGGUACUUCCAUCAGCUCCAGCUAUAUCGU